AUCUCAUAGACCUUAGUAAGUAUUUGUUUACUUUUUUUAAACUUUUUCAUAGUGUCACAUGACGUGUGCGGCUAUAAGCUUAUGGCUGCUGUUUUCUUAGUGUUGUGCUGUCAUAGAUCCACUGACUGAGCUGAGUUACACUUGGAAAGUAACCUACAAUGUGAGAUAGUAAAUACUGCAGAUCUUUAACCUGACUUCCAAGUGUAACUGAAUUAAGCAACAGCGGGAUUCUUGCAGGAGCUUGCAGUUCCAAGGGACCAUGUGACUUGUACACUGAGGACCCCAAGUAAGUUAACAAACUGUUCUCAGUUUGACUACUUACGAUGGUAGGGUGCUCUACGGCAGGCUGUAUUCCUUAUGGUACUUGGAGUGUUCUAUAUGAACCAAUGACAUUUCUAUCAUUACAUGAGGAUUCCUAAUGAUUCGUAAUGGUAUAGGUUUUCCAGUUUUAAUAUAGAUUUGCAGACCAUGUUUCUCUAGAUACUUCUAUACUGCUUCUUCCACCCUGUUUCCCCGAAAAUAAGACAUCCCCC
Non-coding RNA from Pelobates cultripes (western spadefoot toad), 533 nucleotides. The record is from the annotation of a GenBank genome assembly. NCBI's taxonomy places the organism in Eukaryota, Metazoa, Chordata, Amphibia, Anura, Pelobatidae.